AUACGGAGGGUGCAAGCGUUAAUCGGAAUUACUGGGCGUAAAGCGCACGUAGGUGGUUUGGUAAGUUGGAUGUGAAAUCCCCGGGCUCAACCUGGGAAUGGCAUCCAAGACUGCCAAGCUAGAGUCUGGUAGAGGGUGGUGGAAUUCCAGGUGUAGCGGUGAAAUGCGUAGAGAUGUGGAGGAACACCAGUGGCGAAGGCGACUCUCUGGUCUGUAACUGACGCUGAGGCGCGAAAGCGUGGGGAGC
RNAcentral lists this ribosomal RNA (247 nucleotides) under uncultured bacterium. RNAcentral describes it as "partial 16S ribosomal RNA". It matches the Rfam family "Bacterial small subunit ribosomal RNA", at positions 523 to 769 of the family's 1533-position model. The record is from RNAcentral.